UACGAAGGGGGCUAGCGUUGUUCGGAAUUACUGGGCGUAAAGGGCGCGUAGGCGGUGUGUCAAGUCAGGCGUGAAAGCCCCGGGCUCAACCCGGGAAGUGCACUCGAUACUGCCAAGCUAGAGUAUCGGAGAGGUUGGUGGAAUUCUCGGUGUAGAGGUGAAAUUCGUAGAUAUCGAGAGGAACACCGGUGGCGAAGGCGGCCAACUGGACGAAUACUGACGCUGAGACUCGAAAGCGUGGGGAGCAAACAGG
Molecule: ribosomal RNA, 253 nt
Filed under: uncultured bacterium
Lineage: Bacteria
Description: partial 16S ribosomal RNA
Rfam family: Bacterial small subunit ribosomal RNA
Source: RNAcentral